Molecule: ribosomal RNA, 774 nt
Filed under: uncultured Neocallimastigales
Lineage: Eukaryota; Fungi; Neocallimastigomycota; Neocallimastigomycetes; Neocallimastigales
Description: partial large subunit ribosomal RNA
Rfam family: Eukaryotic large subunit ribosomal RNA
Source: RNAcentral
ACACGCAUGACACACUGCAUAUCAAUAAGCGGAGGAAAAGAAACUAACAAGGAUUCCCCUAGUAACGGCGAGUGAAGCGGGAAGAGCUCAAAUUUGAAAUCUUCAAGGUUUCCCUUGACGAAUUGUAGUUUAUAGAAGUGUUUUCUGUUAGUAGAGUGGCAAAAGUUCUUUGGAAUAGGACAUCAUAGAGGGUGAGAAUCCCGUACUUGGUCAUUCUUUCUAGCUUUGUGAUACACUUUCAACGAGUCGGAUUGUUUGGGAAUGCAGUCCAAAAUGGGUGGUAAAUUUCAUCUAAAGCUAAAUAUUGGCGAGAGACCGAUAGCGAACAAGUACCGUGAGGGAAAGAUGAAAAGAACUUUGAAAAGAGAGUUAAACAGUACGUGAAAUUGUCAAAAGGGAAGCGUUUGACACCAGUGUUGUUUUUCCGAAAAUCAAUUACGAAUGUUUUAGUUUUUGAGAAGUUAUGACUUCAUCGGCUUGCUUCUCUCUUUAUGAAACUUUCUUAAUGCACUUUUCGGUUAACAAGUCAACAUCAAUUUCUUUUGUUGUAAAAGGGUAUGAGGAAGGUGGCUUUCUUUUCGGAGAAAGUGUUUAUAGCCUUGUACCUCUGCAAUCGGAGAGAUUGAGGUCUGCAGCGUAGAUCCUUCGGGGUUAGAUACAUUUGUGCUAAGUUAUAGCUUUUCAUAGACAACUUGUUGACUAUGUUUAGUCUUGUAGCUUACUCGCUUAUGCUAUUUUACCUACGCUUAGGAUGUUGAAGACUCUACAGAGAUA